UGGGGGAUAUUGCACAAUGGGCGAAAGCCUGAUGCAGCGACGCCGCGUGGGGGAUGAAGGCCUUCGGGUUGUAAACUUCUUUUGCUCUGAACAAGGCAUGCUAAUGGGUGUGUUGAGUGUAGGGGUUGAUUAGCGCCGGCUAACUACGUGCCAGCAGCCGCGGUAAUACGUAGGGCGCGAGCGUUGUCCGGAAUUAUUAGGCGUAAAGGGCUUGUAGGUGGCUGGUUGCGUCUGUCGUGAAAGCUCAUGGCUUAACUGUGGGUUUGCGGUGGGUACGGGCUGGCUUGAGUGCAGUAGGGGAGGCUGGAAUUCCUGGUGUAGCGGUGGAAUGCGCAGAUAUCAGGAGGAAUACCGGUGGCGAAGGCGGGUCUCUGGGCUGUUACUGACACUGAGGAGCGAAAGCAUGGGGAGCGAACAGG
Molecule: ribosomal RNA, 419 nt
Filed under: bacterium
Lineage: Bacteria
Description: partial 16S ribosomal RNA
Rfam family: Bacterial small subunit ribosomal RNA
Source: RNAcentral